CGGGAUCGCCGCUUCAAAGAUCUUCCUACUCACCAUGGAAGAAGCGAAGGUGAUCGAGGCGAAGGACGGCACCAUCUCGGUCGCAUCUGCAUUCCCUGGGCAUCAAGAAGCUGUGCAGGAUCGGGAUCAUAAGUUCUUGUCGAAGGCUGUGGGUGAGGCUUAUCAGGGUGUUGAUUGCGGCGAUGGGGGGCCCUUUGGCGCGGUUGUUGUUCAUAAGGAGGAGGUGAUUGCGAGUUGCCAUAAUAUGGUGUUGAAGAAUACGGAUCCGACUGCGCAUGCCGAGGUUACUGCGAUUAGGGAGGCCUGUAAGAAACUCGGAAAGAUCGAGCUCUCUGAUUGUGAAAUAUACGCAUCCUGUGAGCCGUGUCCUAUGUGCUUUGGCGCAAUUCACCUUUCCCGCAUUAAGAGGCUGGUGUAUGGAGCCAAGGCGGAAGCUGCAAUUGCUAUAGGUUUCGAUGACUUCAUCGCGG
Molecule: unclassified non-coding RNA, 470 nt
Filed under: Hevea brasiliensis (rubber tree)
Lineage: Eukaryota; Viridiplantae; Streptophyta; Magnoliopsida; Malpighiales; Euphorbiaceae
Source: RNAcentral